Molecule: ribosomal RNA, 444 nt
Filed under: uncultured bacterium
Lineage: Bacteria
Description: partial 16S ribosomal RNA
Rfam family: Bacterial small subunit ribosomal RNA
Source: RNAcentral
GUAGGGAAUAUUGGGCAAUGGUCGGAAGACUGACCCAGCCAUGCCGCGUGCAGGAAGACGGCCCUCUGGGUUGUAAACUGCUUUUAUCUGGGAAGAAAAAGGCCAUGCGUGGCAAAUUGCCGGUACCAGAUGAAUAAGCACCGGCUAACUCCGUGCCAGCAGCCGCGGUAAUACGGAGGGUGCGAGCGUUGUCCGGAUUUCUUGGGUUUAAAGGGUGCGUAGGCGGCUGAUUAAGUCAGCGGUGAAAGACUUCGGCUUAACCGGAGCAGUGCCGGUGAUACUGGUUGGCUUGAGUGUCGGAGGGGUACAUGGAAUUGAUGGUGUAGCGGUGAAAUGCAUAGAUACCAUCAGGAACACCGAUAGCGAAGGCAUUGUACUGGCCGACAACUGACGCUGAUGCACGAAAGUGUGGGGAUCGAACAGGAUUAGAUACCCUAGUAGUCC